CCUACGGGAGGCUGCAGUAGGGAAUUUUGCACAAUGGGCGCAAGCCUGAUGCAGCCACGCCGCGUGAGUGAAGAAGGCCUUUGGGUUGUAAAGCUCUUUCGGCUGGGAAGAAGGGUCACAACGCGAAUAGCUCUGUGAUCUGACGGUACCAGAAGAAGAAGCCCCGGCUAACUUCGUGCCAGCAGCCGCGGUAAUACGAAGGGGGCAAGCGUUGUUCGGAAUUAUUGGGCGUAAAGCGCGCGUAGGCGGGUCUGUAAGUCGAUUGUGAAAACCCU
This 275-nucleotide ribosomal RNA is filed under the name uncultured bacterium. RNAcentral's name for it is "partial 16S ribosomal RNA". It matches the Rfam family "Bacterial small subunit ribosomal RNA", at positions 338 to 604 of the family's 1533-position model. The record is from RNAcentral.